Molecule: ribosomal RNA, 471 nt
Filed under: uncultured Acidobacteriota bacterium
Lineage: Bacteria; Pseudomonadati; Acidobacteriota
Description: bacterial SSU rRNA
Rfam family: Bacterial small subunit ribosomal RNA
Source: RNAcentral
GAGGAGCCCGCGGCUGAUUAGCUAGUUGGUGAGGUAAUGGCUCACCAAGGCUACGAUCAGUAUCCGGUCUGAGAGGACGGUCGGACACACUGGAACUGAGACACGGUCCAGACUCCUACGGGAGGCAGCAGUGGGGAAUUUUUGGCAAUGGGGGAAACCCUGACCAAGCAACGCCGCGUGGGUGAUGAAGUCCCUUGGGACGUAAAACCCUUUCGACGGGGAAGAAACCGCAAGGUUGACGGUACCCGUAGAAGAAGCCCCGGCUAACUCCGUGCCAGCAGCCGCGGUAAUACGGGGGGGGCGAGCGUUGUUCGGAAUUACUGGGCGUAAAGGGUGCGUAGGCGGCUCGCUAAGUCGGAUGUGAAAACUCUGGGCUUAACCCAGAGCCUGCAUUCAAUACUGGCAGGCUAGAGUUCUGGAGGGGAUAGCGGAAUUCCUGGUGUAGCGGUGAAAUGCGUAGAUAUCAGGAGG